GAUGAACGCUGGCGGCGUGCCUAAUACAUGCAAGUCGAACGAACAGAUGAGGAGCUUUCUCCCCUGACGUUAGCGGCGGACGGGUGAUUAACACGUGGAUAACCUACCUCUAAGACUGGGUUAAUUUCGGCAAACCGGAGCUUCUACCGGAUAAUAUAUCGAACUGCAUGGUUCAAUCGUUAAAGUCGGUUUUUCUGACACUUAUAGCCGGAUACGUGUCGAAUGAGUUAGUUGGUAAGGUAACGGCUUACCAAGGCAACGAGGGGUAGCCGACCUGAGAGGGUGAUCCGACACACGGGAAAUGAGACACGGUACAGACGCCUAGGGGAGGAAGCAGUCGGGAAUCUUCCGCAAUGGGGGAAAGGCUGACGGAGGAACGCCGCGGGAGGGAUGAAGGAGCUCGGAUCGUAAAGCUAUGAUGGUAGGAAAGAAGAAAAGUGUAAUUAACUAUGCUCGUCAUGACGGUACCUAAAGAAUAAGCCCCGGCUAACUACGUG
Molecule: ribosomal RNA, 497 nt
Filed under: uncultured bacterium
Lineage: Bacteria
Description: partial 16S ribosomal RNA
Rfam family: Bacterial small subunit ribosomal RNA
Source: RNAcentral